GCCGCAGUGGCGGAACAGGAAGACGCGCCACGUUCAGGGCGUGGUGGGCAAUAGCCCGUGGGGGUUCAAAUCCCUCCUGCGGCACCA
Molecule: transfer RNA, 87 nt
Filed under: Caldilineaceae bacterium
Lineage: Bacteria; Bacillati; Chloroflexota; Caldilineae; Caldilineales; Caldilineaceae
Description: tRNA-Leu
Rfam family: tRNA
About the family: Transfer RNA (tRNA) molecules are approximately 80 nucleotides in length. Their secondary structure includes four short double-helical elements and three loops (D, anti-codon, and T loops). Further hydrogen bonds mediate the characteristic L-shaped molecular structure. tRNAs have two regions of fundamental functional importance: the anti-codon, which is responsible for specific mRNA codon recognition, and the 3' end, to which the tRNAs corresponding amino acid is attached (by aminoacyl-tRNA synthetases). tRNAs cope with the degeneracy of the genetic code in two manners: having more than one tRNA (with a specific anti-codon) for a particular amino acid; and 'wobble' base-pairing, i.e. permitting non-standard base-pairing at the 3rd anti-codon position.
Source: RNAcentral